AACGAACGCUGGCGGCAGGCCUAACACAUGCAAGUCGAGCGCCCUUUCGGGGGAGCGGCGGACGGGUGAGUAACGCGUGGGAAUAUGCCCUUCUCUACGGAAUAGCCUCGGGAAACUGAGAGUAAUACCGUAUACGCCCUUUGGGGGAAAGAGUUAUCGGGGAAGGAUUAGCCCGCUUUGGAUUAGGUGGUUGGUGGGGUAAUGGCCUACCUAGCCGACGAUCCAUAGCUGGUUUGAGAGGAUGAUAAGCCAAACGGGGACUGAGACACGGCCCAGACUCCUACGGGAGGCAGCAGUGGGGAAUAUUAGACAAUGGGGGCAAACCUGAUCUAGCCAUGCCGGGUGAGUGAUGAAGGCCUUAGGGUUGUAAAGCUCUUUCAGCUGGGAAGAUAAUGACGGUACCAGCAGAAGAAGCCCCGGCUAACUCCGUG
RNAcentral lists this ribosomal RNA (431 nucleotides) under uncultured bacterium. Its description in RNAcentral is "partial 16S ribosomal RNA". It matches the Rfam family "Bacterial small subunit ribosomal RNA", at positions 29 to 507 of the family's 1533-position model. The record is from RNAcentral.